AUUUCCUGUUCUGCAAUAAGUUUUGCACAGUUUUUAAAGUAUCUAGUGUAUAUAAGGACAAGCCAUUCUCAGUCAAGCAUGAAACUGAAUCUGAGCAGGAAAAGAAGAAAGCUGAAAACACACUGAGGAUUAUGGGAGAGGGGCAAGUGCAUGAAGCUUCUCAAUGACAUACAGACACUCUAAAAGCUCAAGAGAUCAAUUAUUCAACUUCAAGAACUGAAAUUUGAACACAGAUUUUGAGCUUCCAAAUCAGGAGAAAAAGAAGUGUUCUAUAAGAAGUUUGGACAAGACUCUGCAAGAAGUUAAGAGGUCCUUAAAGGCAACUGUGAAUUAACGGAGACUAGUUUUGAGAAAAUCAGUCCUGAUUUGUUUCUCCUGGAGUUUUCUUCUUUAUGUGAUCCUUCAUAAAAGCUGCUAAUAUGGGAAAGAUUGAAAUCAGCAAGUUUCUGGCUGUAAGCUAAAAGAGGCUCUUGAAUCAUAUUUCCGCCUGCUUAGCAAAUUUCUCUUGCGACAAUUGGAUGUUAUUUGGGGUUCCAUACUAGCAGGAAGAAGUACAAGCAAAGCUAAGUCAUUUUGAGAAUAAAUAUUAUCUCUCUAUAUAUUUGUAAAUGUUAUUUUCUUUUUUUUUGAGGUUUAUGAUUGAUCCUUGGCAUGUGUCCCCUUGUGUAUUGCUCUACUAAAAAUAGCCUAAAAAAGAAUUUUCCCCUCGAUGUGGAGCUUCUCUUUAGUUACAAUUCUACUUUCUCCUUCACUUGAGUAUCAGUCUUCAGAGAACUACCAUAACAAAGGAGUGGAUACAGAUAUACGCAAAAAAGUCUAUGAGAAAAUUAGUACAUUAAAUUUGUGAAAGCUCAUUUAAAGUAAUUUUCUACUAACAAUUUUAAUCAAAUGUAUUAAUCAUAUUUCUAUGCUUAGUGAUGUUAAAUAAAAAUUUAAAAGGUGGCAAUCAAUAAACAGAGAUAAAAGCUUCUCAAGAAUAAAUGAAAGGAAGUAAUAAAAAGACUCACUAAGCUGAAUUGCCUCCUAUCAACAGCAGCUGAUAAAAUAUUAAAAGAUUUGCCUUGUGUAAUGUCUCUGGAGAGCUGUCUUACUGAUGUACGAGGCCAUGAUUGACAACUUUGAGACUUUGCUGGAAGCGACAAAAGUAUAUCUAUAAUAUUAUGCUGAAUUGCAUAGGUCUUUCUUCUUAAAUGAGGCUAGAAAUAACAUACCACCAAGUGUUUGGCUUUUAGGAAAUUGAGCAUUUUCUUUAGUUCUAGCUGCAGUUUAAUUUCCUCAGAAUUAGACAUUAUGCGGUAUCUGGAACGUUAAAAAAAAAAAAAAGCAAAAACAGAGUAUUGUACCUAAUGAUAUGUCAAAUAAUUUUGGAGGAAUUAAGAAAUCACUGGAAGAAAUUACAUGGGUGGGUAAUGGUUUUUAUGUCACAAUAAAUAAUUAGUAAUAUUUACUGACACAUUUCAUGUGCCUGGUACUGAGCUAAAUGAUUUAUGUGCAUUGUUUGUAUUAAGCCCCCAAAAUUCUGUGGUAUAUGUAAUGAUAUUUCCAUUUUUCUUGAGAUAAGGAACUGAAACUCAGAAAAGUUAAGGAACUUGUCCAAGAUUAUAGUAAGUGGCUUAGUUCAAUUUUGAAUCUAGAUCAAUCUGACUCCAACCAGCAUGAUGAACUGAAACUGACUAUGAGGCUGGUGACACUCUAGGCAUUUAUUCACAAGAGGUAUUGUGAUGACAUGUGAGAGAAUGUUGGAUGAAGGAAGCACAUACUAGAAAGAUAGGAAAGACCAGAAAACACAGGGAAGUGCUAUUUAUUUGCUUUCCUAGUUCCAGUAACUUGGUCUAAUGGGGAGGAUGAAAGUAGACAGAUACCUGAAAACACUUUGAGAUUUAUGUAUAAGCAGCAUGACUUCAGUGACCAAGCCACACAGAAUCUGGGAGUGGAACAUUUUCUUUGGUCAUUAUGCCACUGCGGCAUGGUUUGUUAGUGCAGUGAGAACUAAAGUAUAGUGUGGUAACCUGAAACUGUUAUGGUUAUGGGUACACCUGGGUGGGUAGCUGUUCACCCCUUCACAGAGGGUAGGAGUGGUGAUAGCAAAGUAGCUCUUCGCAGUAACUUUCAGAACAUAGACAUUAUGUAAGAUCUGAAGUUUGAAAACCUGAAACAAAAGCAGAGCAUUAUAUCCAAGCACAUUGGAGACAACUGUGGAGGAAUCAAGGAACAUCUAGCAGAGAUUUAAUGUUUUAGGGACUGUUUUUUAUUUCAGAAGGUAAUAAGUGUAAAACAGUCAAACUCUAGGCAUAGGGAUGAACAUUAUUUUGUGUCAUAAAUUUGUCUAAUAUAGUUGCUGCUUCAGCAUCCAGUUUUGGCUUGUCAUGGUCAAGGUGACCAGUCAUGCCCUGUCACCUUUGGUUUUAUUAAAAUUUUCCCUCCUUUAGUGGUUAUUUGUGAUAUAGCCCUGUUGUUCCCCAUCUCACUGACCCCAAAUUCAACACAUGCCACAGCUGCUGGCCACAGUGAAAACUAAUGAUCAACACCAGUCAUGUGAAUAAGACGUCCCUUCAUGUGUUUUCUUUAAGCUAGCCUAUCCACAGCCCCAUGGGAAAGCCUAAAGAAUAGUACCUGUGGAUUAUAAUAAAGACGUCUUACUGGUUCUUGCUCUCUAUCCCUCUCUCUACACACUGGUCAAGUACACUCUUGUCUCCAGACUUCCCAUUGGCCUCCUGUCAACACCUGUACCCACUCUGGACCUGGGAAUAAUAAACUUCUUUUUUUUUUUAAUGUAUUUUGGUUUCACUUCCUCAUUGUAUCUCACCUGACACACACAUACUAUAGUGUUCUCAAUAUUAUUUAAUGUGUUUAACAAAUCAUAACAGAUAAUAUAUGAUUGACACUGUGCCUCCUGAUUUGAUGCAAUAUGGACUAUUCCACAUCACUGAUGAAGUAGUCAUACAAAAAAUAUUUAUCUUGAAUCAAAGCAAGAUUUUAUACCAAAAUUCUAGUUCAAGUUACCUGAUAGAGGAACAUAUUAAACAAUACUAUGUGUAAACAAUACUAUGUGUAAACAAUCAGAAAAAUAAUAGAUUGUAGCCUUCAAAAAACGAUGGCCUUACAAAACAAAUAAACAAAAAGUUUGUGUGGGUGUGUACAUGCAAGGGCUAAUCUCAAAUGCAGAAAGACCAGAAUACAAUAACAAAUAUAAUUCUUGAAAGUGGAUUUCAUCUUGGUUUACCAAAAAUAGCUAUGAGGGAAAUUUGGGUAAGAAUUAGAGAAUUCUGAAUAUAGAAUGAAUUAAAACAUAUUAUGAAUUAAGUUAAUAUUUUUGAUGUUUUCUUUUGAUAUGUUCUUUUAGAAUAUGUAAUAUCCCUAUUUAUUGGAGAUGUGUGCUAAAUUAUUUACAAAUAUUUGGGUAUCUGAAAUUUACUUUCAAAUGCACCAAAAAUAAUAGCUAUACAAAAAGAAAUACAUUAAAUUUACUCUAUAGUAGUAGUUAUUCUUUCUGAGAGGUUUACACAGUAUUUUCCUGUUCUUUUGUAUGUAUGUAUUUUUAAAAGAACGUAGGCCUGGCGCAGUGGCUCACGCCUAUAAUCCCAGCACUUUGGGAGGCCGAGGUGGGCGGAUCACGUGGUCAGGAGAUCGAGACCAUCCUGGCUAACACGGUAAAACCCCGUCUCUACUAAAAACACAAAAACAAAAUUAGCCAGGCGUGGUGGCGGGCGCCUGUAGUCCCAGCUAAUCAGGAGGCUGAGGCAGGAGAAUGGCGUGAACCCGGGAGGCGAAGCUUGCAGUGAGCCGAGAUCAUGCCACUGCACUCCAGCCUGGGCGACAGAGCGAGACUCCGUCUCAAAAAAAACAAAAACGAAAACAAAAACAACAUAAAUAAAUUGAUAAUAUAUCUAUUUUGAUACAGUCAUGGUUAACAUAAAUAAUCCUGGUUAUAUCCAUAUAAAACCAUGAAUAUACAGUAAUAAAUAUUAUAAUUACAAGUAAAUCACCAUAAAUAAAUUCUGUUUUCAAUGUUUCUACU
RNAcentral lists this long non-coding RNA (4018 nucleotides) under Homo sapiens (human). RNAcentral describes it as "HSALNT0044564". The record is from RNAcentral. Lineage: Eukaryota; Metazoa; Chordata; Mammalia; Primates; Hominidae.